Molecule: long non-coding RNA, 455 nt
Filed under: Nicotiana benthamiana
Lineage: Eukaryota; Viridiplantae; Streptophyta; Magnoliopsida; Solanales; Solanaceae
Description: long non-coding RNA (NBEN_LNC037643)
Source: RNAcentral
GGUGCAACAGUAUCAUAUUUGUACAAAUUCGAAGUUGAAUAAGAAAGAUAUUACCAGCCUUCUUCACAGACUCGAAGAAGAAGAGUCUUCUCUAAACAUGAAAACCUAGGAAUUGAAUUGAAGAAAUCACUAAAGUAGAUCUCGAAAAGACAAAACUUCUACUAGAUUCCAGUCGUUUGAAAGCGAAAAUGAAGAAAUUCCUAAGUUUUGAUGGCAAAAUCGUCGAUUUGGCAAUAAUCUUCGAUCGUCCAGAAAUGCACAUGAAAUCCUCCAAGACUUUAGGCAGGGGUAACAUCGGAUUGAAGCUAAUGAAGCGAGGAAUUAUAAUUCCUGCUCUGAUACCAUGUUAGACUGAAGGAUCAACAGCUAUGGCGGAAAAGAAAUUUAGAAAACCCUAGGUAGGGUGAGAGAGAAUAGAGAACAUGAGUCGGUUCAAUUAGGAAGGCCGACUCUAU